AGCAGCCGCGGUAAUUCCAGCUCCAAUAGCGUAUAUUAAAGUUGUUGCAGUUAAAAAGCUCGUAGUUGAAUUUCGGGAUCAAUAUGUCGGUCGUGCUUUUUGGUAUGUACUGGCGUUAUUGGUUUCUCCCUUCUGACGAACCAUGAUGUCAUUAAUUUGGUGUUAUGGGGAAUUAGGACUGUUACUUUGAAAAAUUAGAGUGUUUAAAGCAGGCAUUAGCUUGAAUACAUUAGCAUGGAAUAAUGAAAUAGGACGUUCGAACCUAUUUUGUUGGUUUCUAGGAUCAACGUAAUGAUUAAUAGGGAUAGUUGGGGGCAUUAGUAUUCAAUUGUCAGAGGUGAAAUUCUUGGAUUUAUUGAAGACUAACUACUGCGAAAGCAUUUGCCAAGGAUGUUUUCAUUAAUCAAGAACGAAAGUUAGGGGAUCGAAGACGAUCAGAUACCGUCGUAGUCUUAACCAUAAACUAUGCCGACUAGGGAUCGGAUGAUGUUAAUUUUUAAUGACUCAUUCGGCGUCCGUU
This 520-nucleotide ribosomal RNA is filed under the name uncultured Glomeromycotina. Its description in RNAcentral is "SSU rRNA". It matches the Rfam family "Eukaryotic small subunit ribosomal RNA", at positions 569 to 1091 of the family's 1831-position model. Lineage: Eukaryota; Fungi; Glomeromycota. The record is from RNAcentral.